Molecule: ribosomal RNA, 434 nt
Filed under: uncultured bacterium
Lineage: Bacteria
Description: partial 16S ribosomal RNA
Rfam family: Bacterial small subunit ribosomal RNA
Source: RNAcentral
AGCGAACGCUGGCGGCAGGCUUAACACAUGCAAGUCGAGCGGGCACCUUCGGGUGUCAGCGGCAGACGGGUGAGUAACACGUGGGAACGUACCCUUCGGUUCGGAAUAACGCUGGGAAACUAGCGCUAAUACCGGAUACGCCCUUAUGGGGAAAGGUUUACUGCCGAAGGAUCGGCCCGCGUCUGAUUAGCUGGUUGGUGGGGUAACGGCCUACCAAGGCGACGAUCAGUAGCUGGUCUGAGAGGAUGAUCAGCCACACUGGGACUGAGACACGGCCCAGACUCAUAAGGGAGGCGGGAGGGGGGAAAUUUGGAAAAGGGGACGAAGCCUGACCCACCCAGGCCGGGUGGGUGUUAAGGGCUUUAGGUUUGAAAAGCUUUUUUGACCGGGACGAUAAGGGGGGAACCGGAAGAAAAAGCCCGGGUAAAUUUGGG